ACAAGCGGAGGAACAGUGUGGUUAAUUCGAUGAUACGCGAGGAACCUUACCUGGGCUUAAAUGUAGAGUGCAUUUUUAGAGAUAGAAAUUCCUUCGGGCUUUCUGCAAGGUGCUGCAUGGUUGUCGUCAGCUCGUGCCGUGAGGUGUCGGGUUAAGUCCCAUAACGAGCGCAACCCUUAUCGUUAGUUGCCAGCUGGUAAAGCAGGGGACUCUAGCGAAACUGCCACCGUAAGGUGAGAGGAAGGUGGGAUGACGUCAAAUCAGCACGGCCCUUAUGUCCAGGGCUACACACGUGUUACAAUGGCCGGCACAGAGGGCAGCUACCUGGUGACAGGAUGCUAAUCUCGAAAACCGGUCUCAGUUCGGAUCGAAGUCUGCAACUCGACUUCGUGAAGCUGGAUUCGCUAGUAAUCGCGCAUCAGCCAUGGCGCGGUGAAUACGUUCCCGGGCCUU
This 453-nucleotide ribosomal RNA is filed under the name uncultured Sphingobacteriales bacterium. RNAcentral's name for it is "bacterial SSU rRNA". It matches the Rfam family "Bacterial small subunit ribosomal RNA", at positions 925 to 1382 of the family's 1533-position model. The record is from RNAcentral. Lineage: Bacteria; Pseudomonadati; Bacteroidota; Sphingobacteriia; Sphingobacteriales.